Non-coding RNA from Pelobates cultripes (western spadefoot toad), 3263 nucleotides. NCBI's taxonomy places the organism in Eukaryota, Metazoa, Chordata, Amphibia, Anura, Pelobatidae. The record is from the annotation of a GenBank genome assembly.
UAUUCAAUAUUCCUUCAGUCAGCAAUAAUCAUGUUAUAAACCUUAUAAAAGCAUAAAAUACAUAUAAACAAGUUAACUAUUUAAUAUUCUUACAUUCCCCUCUUUGAGCAAUAAAACAAUUGCUCAUCUUAUCGAUAAAAUCUUACCAGGACAGAGAAACUUCCACAUGGUAUUUUCAGGGGUGCUAGUCACUCCCUGCGGGACUUUCAUUAAUUUCUUCACCUCGAUUCCCAUGUGGUAAUUCCUAAGGCCCAGUUUAAAAAUGGGUUGAUACUCUACAGUGGCAGAGAGGAGAAUUUCUAAUUGUUUCUGUUCUGCAUUAUGGAUUAAUUUCUGUACUCUCUUCCUCAAUGUACAAGUAAAGUGACAGUUAUAUAAAAUCAUACACAAUAAAAUCAGGACUAUAAUAACAAAAUGAUAUAAGAAUGAUUUCAUUAUCUGGGAUCCAGUAGGGGACCAACCAGUAAAGCAUUGUACCAAUUAUGGGCUAAAUCAUUCUGAAUUUGUGAACUCACCUUAAGGAGUUCUCCUUUUAGGAUAUGUGUGGCUACCUGUGUGUGUUAUCUUUGGGAAAAAUAUAGUCCCCUGUGUAUGUGGGUGCCCACCAGGUUAAAUUCUUGGCAAAAAGAUCAUAAACUGGUACUGGUAAUGUGUUAAAUUGACAAGCUAAUUUAACAUCCUUUGAUGUUGUAUGAUAUAAUGUAAAAUAGCAUGAGCAUGAAAAAUGUGAAACAUUACCAGUUAACCAUCCAUUGCAUUUACUGGAUUGGGGUUUUAGAAGUAACCAUUCAUUAUCUGUGAGGUUACGCUUUCCUCUAAUCUUCUCUAGUUUGGGAAUCAUUAGUGUGUUUUCUAAUGCCAAUCCUUGUUGUUGUAUCCAUAAAUACCUGAUGGCACAAGUACUCCAGUUACUUAGACCUCUAGUGAAUUUCAUAGUUGCAACAGUUAAAUUAUCUAAAUAAUUAUACAUUGAUUUAUCUAAAUCCAAUCCUGUAACCUGUGAUUUAACAACAAUUGGAGCCCAGUUUGCAGUAGCAUGAAAACCAGUCCCUAUAUGCAUACUGGCUGUGUUUAACUUAUUCUUGAGGGUCUCCAUAUCUAUAACUAUUUAGUAUACCCAUAGUGGUUCCAGCACCUCCUAACAGUGUGUCAUACCAUUCCCUUUUCUGCCUUUUGUUUGUUGUGUUACAUAAUGUUACAACAGGAGUAGUGAUUUUUAAUGACACAUGUACAGCUUGUAAGAAGGCAGUUGUAUUAAUACAUGUGGACGGAAUAGGUGUGUGUGUGUCGUUGUUGACUUUUGGUUAUAUGGUAGAGGAUAAAGGACAGUAAUAAGGUGUAAAAAUAUAAGGUAGUGUAUAGUUCUCAAUUGUAGUGUUGUUCAUAAUGACUAACAUUUGUCCCCUUCUCCAAUUAAUGAUACCAGUUAUAUAAUCAUUAUUAAAAGUAAUAAGGCCUAUCUGUUUACAUUGAUAUGCAACCUUAACUGUGCACAUUUCUGCGUUAUAAGAUCUAACAAUUUUCUGUGAACCUUCAAACAAACAUAAUGCAUCGGUUUCAUUAGCUGUAGACACAUUUCAUAUGGGUAACUGGUACUUAUAAGGGUUACUAUUUGUCCAAUUCAUCCAAAUGCGUUCAGUGAAUGAAUGAUUGCAUAUUGCAUGCUGAUAGAAAGUUGGUGGAGAAAGGUUCUUGAGGGGGCGUGUGUGACGAAUACUAGAUGAGGGGCUAAGGCCUAAUUGGGCUGGGGGUAUUGAAGAAUUGUUCAUCAUGUCAGAGUCUUUUUCCAGAAACAAACAGGUUUCAAACUUGCCAUUGACUUGUACUCAUAAUGGCAUUCAAGGAACAAUAUCAGAGGGAGUAUAACAACUCCAGAAAGCAUAGCGCACAACAUAAUCUUGGUCUCAGGUACGUAUGAUCCUCUCAAUCUACGAUAUGGUGUGAAAACCAUGAUGCUUCGCUGAGGAGAAAUUCUUCUGUUUCCGAGCGAGGAGUGGUGUUGUCUUCCUUGGUUCCCCUCUUUGGACACAGCUUCACUCGGGAUGCGUGAAUCCAGAUGUCAUGGGAAUCUGUGAGCAGCGGUUCUGGGUACAGCAAUCACAGUAGCAGGUGGUCCAAAAGGGUAUCCUCCUUUCUUGGUCCUGUUCAACUGACGGAUAUACACCUUGUCACCGGGAUGGUAUGAAUGAGUAGGUUCCUGUGAAGGUAAGGGAAAACUGCGAAGAAACAUUGUCAUACAUACCAUUCGGUUUUAUCAACAAUUCCUGUACAUAUUGUUCUUGUAUUAGCUGUAAAUCCACAGACAUUAUAACAAGCGGUUCCCUGGCCCAGGGUGUGGGAAAAGGUCAUCCCAUCAAAAUCUCAAAUGGAGAUAAUUUAGUCACCUUGUGAGGAAUCACUCUUAUCUCAGCUAAAAUAGCUGGUAGAUAUCUAGUCCAAUUUACCCAUGUUCCUGGGUAAAUUCUGGGCUUUUCCUUAAUAGUCCUAUUCAUCCUUUCAACUACCCCUGUAUUCUGUGGAUGAUAGGGUAUAUGAAACUGCCAGGUAACUUGCAAGAAUUUAGCAAGUUCCUGGGCAACCCCACUUGCAAAAACCGGGCCAUUAUCAGAGCCAAUCUGCAGAGGGCAGCAAUACCGGGGAAUAAUUUCAGUAACAAUAAUCUUCACUAGCAUCUUCCCUAGAUAUCACAAAGGCCUCAUGCCAUCUACUAAACUGAUUAACUAUGACCAGUAAGUAUUGCUGUUUCUUACCAAUUUUGGAUACAUGAAUAAAAUCAAUCUGUAAGUGUGUAAAAAGAGCAGUGUUCACACGAUCUUACAAAAGACUGUACAUGCUGCCUGAGAUUCCUAAUAUAAAAUGAAUUCAUGAAGAAUUGAAUGGUGCUUGCUAUGUGCCUGACUGAUGAAAAUAAAGCAGCUUGCUUCAAGUAUGCCUAUUCUUCAAGUAUGCCUAUUCUCCCCUCUUUAGAGAACAGAUCAUUUUGAUCUUUCUCUAAACCUUGUUUAAUCCAAAAGACAGAUUCUGGGUAUUAAAAAAAAGAAUCUCAUAACCACUUAAGUGCUGGGCUGUCAUGUGUUGUGUGGUGAGAUUUGUUAUCAGCUGAGUGACCUGGUGACUGGCAUGAAGUAUUGUAGGAUGCCCUAGUGUGAUAGUAGUAGCAGUUUCAACAGCCAUUGCACAUGCUAUCAAUGCUCUGAGACACGCCGGCAUACCCUGUACCGGAGCUCGAACUACUUUGGAAAAGAAUGCUAUGGGACGCAUAC